Molecule: ribosomal RNA, 512 nt
Filed under: Candidatus Omnitrophota bacterium
Lineage: Bacteria; Pseudomonadati; Candidatus Omnitrophota
Description: bacterial SSU rRNA
Rfam family: Bacterial small subunit ribosomal RNA
Source: RNAcentral
UUUUCGGAGAGUUUGAUCCUGGCUCAGAGUGAACGCUGGCGGCGUGGAUUAGGCAUGCAAGUCGAGCGAUAUUGGGGGGGGUGCUUCGCAAGAAGUACUUCAACCGUAAAGAUAAGCUCGCGUCCUAUCAGCUAGUUGGCAGGGUAAUGGCCUACCAAGGCUUUUGACGGGUAGCUGGUCUAAGAGGAUGGUCAGCCACACGGGGACUGAGACACUGCCCCGACUCCUACGGGAGGCUGCAGUCGAGAAUCUUUAGCAAUGGGCGAAAGCCUGACUAUGCGACGCCGCGUGAGGGAUGAAGUAUUUCGGUACGUAAACCUCUUUCGAUAGGGAAGAAAUCUCCUGUAGAAAUGCAGGAGCUGACGGUACCUAGAGAAGAAGCCACGGCCAACUCCGUGCCAGCAGCCGCGGUAAUACGGGGGUGGCGAGCGUUACUCGGAUUUAUUGGGUGUAAAGGGCAGGUAGGUGGCUAUAUAAGUUGGGGGUGAAAUCCUUUGGCUCAACCAAAGAAC